Molecule: ribosomal RNA, 519 nt
Filed under: Viscum ovalifolium
Lineage: Eukaryota; Viridiplantae; Streptophyta; Magnoliopsida; Santalales; Viscaceae
Description: eukaryotic LSU rRNA
Rfam family: Eukaryotic large subunit ribosomal RNA (bases 355-519)
Source: RNAcentral
UUAUGCGAUACUUGGUGUGUAUUGCAGAAUCUCGUGAGCCAUUGAGUUUUUGAAUGCAAGUUGCGCCCGAAGCCAUUUUUUUGGUCGAGGGCACGCCUGCCUGGGUGUCAUGCAUGGAGUUUUCCUGGGACCUCCUCCUCCGUGAGGCCGAUUGCUCGGCUGCUUUUCAUUGGGGGUGAGGGAGAUCUCGGGCGUAUGUUGGCCUCCCGUUCCCCGUCGUGCGGUUGGUUUAAAUUUGGGGUCCUUGGUGGCAUGCAUCGUUGAAGAGCUGUCUUAAACAACGUUUGUCCUAUGUUGGCAAGUGAGCCCUCGCGGUCCCAUGGCUUCCUCGACACUUGUAUGGAGUUGCCAUUUGGACCCCAGGUCAGGUGGGAGCACCCGCCGAGUUUAAGCAUAUCAAUGAGCGGAGGAAAAGAAACUUACGAGGAUUCCCUUAGUAACGGCGAGCGAAACGGGAGUAGCCCAGCCUGGAAAUCGAAUGGCAUGACCAUUUGAAUUGUAGUCUGGAGAAGCGUCCAA